This 240-nucleotide long non-coding RNA is filed under the name Arachis ipaensis. RNAcentral describes it as "long non-coding RNA (AIPA_LNC002059)". Lineage: Eukaryota; Viridiplantae; Streptophyta; Magnoliopsida; Fabales; Fabaceae. The record is from RNAcentral.
ACCUAUUUGGCAAGCUCAUGCAAUAACCUUCAAUGGCGGAUAUAUAUAUAGAUAGAUAGAUACAUGCGAGAGAACUUGAGAGUUGAGAGUGAUCUAUGCUGAUAUAAAGGUAGAGAGGAGCGUUGGUUUUGUGAGCGGGACAGAGGCACAGUUCAAAAAAACAAAAAAUAAUAUUAAAAAAUGAAAAGAAAGAAGAGAAGACAGAAGUGAAGCAAAAAAGACAAUUAAUGCAAUUUCAAC